Molecule: long non-coding RNA, 551 nt
Organism: Aedes aegypti (yellow fever mosquito)
Lineage: Eukaryota; Metazoa; Arthropoda; Insecta; Diptera; Culicidae
Exons: 2
Source: RefSeq, a predicted model, not a curated record
UCUUGUGCAAGCUGUCACUUUUUGUAGUGCAAAUCUACUUUAUUAUUGUUUUACACAAAGGGGAAUCGUUGCAUAUUAUUUCAUCCCAAACGAACUUUCCACAAUGAUACAAAAUGCCUAAAGGAGUGAAAAAUAUACAGCGAAAAGCUGCCACACCACGAAAUCCCAGCGCUGCUGCUCCCAAUAGUACCGGUAAGUCUGCUGCCGGAACCGUGAAAGCCAGUGCUGUCACGAAGAAGCAGCCACUGAAACCCAGGAAUAAUGAUCGGAACAUCGUAGUUCGAGAGGAUGCAGCAGCUCUAUUUGCUGCAAUCGCCAAAUGCAAGUCCGAAGCUGCCAAGGAUCAAGACGCUGUGGAUGAUGAUUCUGCAUCGGAGCAGCUCAAUACGUUUUCUUCUGACGACGAACGGGUGGUGAAAAAAGUCAAACUAGAAUCUGCAAACCUACUUGAAAUCGAAGCUACUCACGAAGUUCCCUCUCCAGCUAGCACCCGGAUAAAAAAUACAAUACAAAAACAAUAUAACGUAUUGAAACAGUACCAUUCAAUAUAU